RNAcentral lists this non-coding RNA (22 nucleotides) under Arabidopsis thaliana (thale cress). The record is from RNAcentral. Lineage: Eukaryota; Viridiplantae; Streptophyta; Magnoliopsida; Brassicales; Brassicaceae.
AAUAAAUUGUUUCCGCGGUGUA